UAAUCACUUGUCUCUUAAAUGGGGACCUGUAUGAAUGGCUUUUCACUCUUUCACUGUCUCUCUUCCCUCCCUCCUAAUCUUCUAAUCACGUGAAGAAGCGUGAACAAAUAAGAAAGACGAGAAGACCCUGUCGAGCUUAAGCUAACCCUGAAAUGUAGUCUACCUUUUUUCUUAGAAAGAGGUAAAUUUCAGAUAAAGUUUUGGUUGGGGCAACCGUGGAGAAAAAGAAUCCUCCAGUUAGUUAGGAAGAAAACCUUUCACCUAAAAAAUUUAGCGACCCAGUUACUCUGGUAAACGGAAAAAGUUACCGCAGGGAUAACAGCGUUAUCUUCUCUAAGAGCCCAUAUUGACGAGAAGGAUUGCGACCUCGAUGUUGGAUUGGGGUAACC
This 389-nucleotide ribosomal RNA is filed under the name Apostichopus japonicus (Japanese sea cucumber). RNAcentral describes it as "partial 16S ribosomal RNA". It matches the Rfam family "Bacterial large subunit ribosomal RNA", at positions 1962 to 2547 of the family's 2925-position model. The record is from RNAcentral. Lineage: Eukaryota; Metazoa; Echinodermata; Holothuroidea; Aspidochirotida; Stichopodidae.